RNAcentral lists this ribosomal RNA (495 nucleotides) under uncultured bacterium. RNAcentral's name for it is "partial 16S ribosomal RNA". It matches the Rfam family "Bacterial small subunit ribosomal RNA", at positions 29 to 506 of the family's 1533-position model. The record is from RNAcentral.
AUGAACGCUGGCGGCGUGCCUAAUACAUGCAAGUCGAGCGAACAGACGAGGAGCUUGCUCCUCUGACGUUAGCGGCGGACGGGUGAGUAACACGUGGAUAACCUACCUAUAAGACUGGGAUAACUUCGGGAAACCGGAGCUAAUACCGGAUAAUAUAUUGAACCGCAUGGUUCAAUAGUGAAAGACGGUUUUGCUGUCACUUAUAGAUGGAUCCGCGCCGCAUUAGCUAGUUGGUAAGGUAACGGCUUACCAAGGCAACGAUGCGUAGCCGACCUGAGAGGGUGUGCGGCCACCCUGGACCUGAGACACGGUCCCGUCUCCUCCGGGACGCAGCAGUCGGGAAUCUUCCGCAAUGGGCGAUAGCUUGACGUAGCAACGCCGCGUGAGUGAUGAAGGUCUUCGGUUCGUAAAACUCUGUUAUUAGGGAAGAACAAAUGUGUAUGUAACUGUGCACGUCUUGACGGUACCUAAUCAGCAAGCCACGGCUAACUCCGU